CAAUCCCUCAGCUCGCUUUCGCUCUCAAACCAAUCUUCUCCCUCGCUCUCGCACACAACAGAAAUUUUUGAAUUGAAAACCCAAUCCAACAUCAAUCUCUUCUAAUCCAACAUCAAACUGAAAACCCAGAAAAAUCCCACCCAUCUCGCCUAGCAAACAUAGAAAACCUCAUUCCAGCCAAAGCAUCUCAGUCUCAAUCUGUAUCUUGUUCUCAAUCUCAAUCUGUAUCGUGUUGCUGGAGGCCGCGCAGGCAGUUUGGGCGGAGGCUAGGUGGUUUAGACGGAGGAUACGCGGAGUGGCUUGGGCGCUGCAAUUUGUUUUCUAUGCUCGUCAAAACGGAGGAUUGUUUUAAAGCAUCGUGGAGCUCGGAUAAAUCGAUACAUUUAAAGGCCAAGCAAUCCAAUGGGACGGAAAAUCCAGAGAACGAAGGCUAGCUAUAUUGCAUGAAGAAAGGAUAGGGUCAAACUCCGAAACUUCCUUAUUUUGAUUGGACUGGGACAUUGAGACCGUAUCCUAUAUCUAGUAAGCGUGUGGCACCUGCUCAUAUUGAUCUACCUGAUUGGGCAGCUGAUGUAAGUUUUGGAAUCAUUUCUAUGUAUUCCUCAUGGCCAAUUUGCAUAGAUGCAUUGCAUCUUUUGCUGAUUUAAUUGGGAGUUAGAUGCCGCAUCGUGUUGCUACUUCUAGAUGCAAAUAUGCCAUCAUAGUUUAGGUAUAGGUUGAUGUGCUAUCAAGUUAGACUUUCUGCUUUCUACGUUUUCCUUUUUUUAAUUUCCAAAUCAUUAAUGAUAUAUUAAUUUUGAAGCUCAAGACUUCAGAUCAAAUUGAGAGGAUGUGAGAAACUUGUCCAGUAAGUUCCAAUUGCAUAUUUCUUAUUUUCUUUUGUUAUAUUUAGUUCUGAUCAACUAGUGUUAUCUUGUUACUUAUUUUCUUUUUAACUUGCUGCCAGUGCCUUUUCACUUUAUCUUGUAGACCUUAAACAAAUGAAAAUUUUGAUGAUGAUUUGACUCUUUCAUUGAAGGAGUUUCUCUCUUCAAAGGUUUAGUUAUUCUUUCUAUUACAUCAGACCUCAUGUCUUAACAAUAGAUGAUGGAUCUUAAUAGUUGCCAUCUAUAGUUGACGGAUCUUAAUUCAUAAGGGUGGGAACAUUGAAUUUGGAUUUUAAUAUCUUAAAAAGACUUUGUCACUUUGUAGUUCCUAUGCCUGUUCGAUCAUAUUCCUAGUCAAAUAGGUUAUUUAGUUUCUUGUAAGUUGUUCACGCUGCAGGUGGAAUAUUUGGCUAAUAAUUUAGUGCUUUCCCAUGUUAAUAAAUUGUUUACAUGUGACAUGUUUCUCUGAUAUUAACUGGUAAAAUGUAUUGUGCUUUUUAUCAUCUUACUAUUUAUGAAAGAAUCAGUGCAUUCAAUGUAACUAUGCUUGAAGCAAAACUCAGAAACUAUGUUGUCAUUCUGAGAAAGUAUGAAUUAAAAGAUGUUGAUUUGGAUAUUUUAUUGUGUAUGUAGAAUGAAAUGAGGUUUUCAUGCAUGGAGGGGUACACAAAUCUCCCUUAUAUAUUACCACGGUUCUCAU
Rosa chinensis is the source of this 1566-nucleotide long non-coding RNA. RefSeq lists it as uncharacterized. The transcript is spliced from 4 exons. Lineage: Eukaryota; Viridiplantae; Streptophyta; Magnoliopsida; Rosales; Rosaceae. The record is from RefSeq and is a predicted model, not a curated record.